Molecule: long non-coding RNA, 3330 nt
Filed under: Sus scrofa (pig)
Lineage: Eukaryota; Metazoa; Chordata; Mammalia; Artiodactyla; Suidae
Description: lncRNA (ENSSSCG00000058728.1)
Source: RNAcentral
CUUGCAGGUUGCACAAUUUCAUCAGUGAUAUAGCUUUAUUUUUGAAGCUUUUUAAAGUGAUCUUUUUAUCUUUUCAUAUAUCUCACCCUCCUCAAAUGUUUCCUAUUUUUGGAUCUAAUCUAAGCUCAAAACAUCAAAACUUAGUUCUCCUGAAAAGAGGCUUCCAAAGCCAUUCUCAGCUCCAUGCCAGAGCCUGGAAGGACCAGCUGCUCCUGGGCUCCCCCUCUCUCCCAGGCCUCCCCCUCUCCACUCCCAUCCUCCCUGCCCUGGGGCUGCUCCCCUGCCUGCUGGCUAGGCUAUUUCAACAGCCUCUGACUUUGUGCCUCUAGCCCCUCUCCAAAUGCAAUCCAUCACACGUUGCCAAGCUAACCUUUCAACUCCAUUUCCAUCACUUAAUGCAAGUCAGGAUCUCACUCGGUCUGAACUUUCCAUAUCCCCAAAGCCCACCCUCAGCCAGUCUGUCCAAUCCCUGCCCCUCUCCUCCCAGCAACUCCAACCAUCCCUGGGCCUGGGGAACAGAGCUCCUGGUGGCUGCCCGGGGAGGCUGAGAGGAGGGCGGCUGUGUGGCAGGGGUCUCAUCCUCCCUGGGAGCAUGGUCCCCACCCCAGCUCUGCAGGUCACUCUGGGGACCCUGGCCUCACAGCUUCUCUGUGAUUCUGCUCCUGUUAUGUCUCAGUUCUUCCAACAAUCAAAAGACAGCAUGGGUCAUACUUGCUGGCUUCUUCCCCCACAACUAAGAGCUCCAAGCAUCACACCAUUUCAGCACUUAAUUCCAUACCGUCCCUCCCAUUCACACCGUCACAGGCGUGCUCACCUGUACUUCCUAGCUACGGUUAUGGCAUCUUUAGUGUCUCCCAUGGAACUUAUUAGCACAGUUAUAAUUUUACACAAGCACCCCAUCGCAAUCAUUAAAGUCAUACCAAAGAGUCACCAAGGAUAUUCUAAAGUUCUGCACAUUCAUAAUUCUUAUCUAUCUUUAAAAGACAUUAAUAAAAUAACAGCUUUCACCAGACACAUCCAUGUUUCCAAAACCCCAAAAGAUUCCAUGGUCAGCCUCACAUGGAAACCACCAUUUACCCUUUAGAGAGAACCCUGAAAACACGCCUGAAUUUCCCCUGGCCAUUACUGGCCAUGUCUUUGCAAUCUCUGAAGUCCUCCCUACAGCUGACCUGGGUACAGCCUUUACGUAAAGGCUCACUCUGUCAUGAACUUGGAGAGGCGCAUUUCGGAAACCCCUUCCUGAAUGUCUGCCAUACCCCCCAUCCAGUGUCACCAAAUGGUGUCUGGUGCAAAGGGCACCUGCUUCAGCACAGGUCCCCAUCAUGCUCACUGCAGCUACUUGUUUAACAGUUUCCUCUGCAGCACAAGGUUAUAAUAUGGACACUACUGUGCUAACCUGCAAAUCUCCAGACCUACCACAGCGCAUCCUAAGUACCUAAUCAGAACACCGCCACAGGGAAAACGCCUUCCAACCAGCACCAGGAGCUCGGAAAUGGCCUCACCUCCUCUUCCCCACCCACAUUCUGCACACACUGUGAGAGGGCCAGGUGGGGUUGGAGGCUGUCACUGGGGGAGACUGGAGAGGAGACAGGCCUCAGGCACAGGCAACCUCACCCCUCCUGAGACAGAGCCUCAACUUUAAGCUGACAGCCCCACUGCCCCCGAGGCAAGGAGGAGCCUGGCCAGCACCUAGGAGGAGGCCAGGGUCAGGGAGGGAGGGCAGGCCAGGGUCCCCGGGCACAGUCACUGCCCACCCUCCUCCAGAGCAGAUGGCCUCUGCAGCAAGGGCUCGGCAGGCCUGGGACUGAGCUCCCACAGGCAGCCGAUGUCAGGAGGGUGUGACCCUGGAAGGAGCAGGAGGCCAGGACCUGAGGACAUGGCACCUGCACCCCCACCCCUACCCCCGAGGUGGGAUGCAGAAGGGAUGUGGGAGGACCAGAGCAUGGGUGCGGGCUGAGAGGCUGAGAUGCAGGGCAGCCUGCAGCUUCCGGGCCUCUGUUAGCCUCUCAGGCAGGAAGGAGGGGUGUUGGGAAGACUCUGGUUUCAGACCAGUUGGGAAGGCCAAGGACAGAUGUUUGGGGGAGGAGAUACUGGAAACAAAAAUAUGGGUUUAGGAGUUAAUCACCCAGAAACAGGAGCCAGAGCGCCUAGAGAAACUGGGCCCUAGAGAAGCCAAGAUGGACACCUGGGUGCAGGUGGUGUUUAGGGAGCAGGGAAGAACCAGGCGCCCAGGGCACAUCCCAGGGAAGGCCCAAGGGCGCCUCCCAGCCACGGUCCAGGGAGACAAUGGGGCAGUCAGUGAGGCGCAAGUCAUCAGAAAGGAAAGGAGGAGAGCUGAUAACAGGCCGGGAGCCGCACCUCCCGCAGGAGCACCCUGGCUCUCAGGGAGAUGACUCCGCGUCCUCCAGGACAGCAUCAACCGACCCACCUGUCACCAGCCACCCGACUCUCAAUCUAAGCACAGGACAUGCCCUCAAAAGAACACUGGCUUGGAAGGCGCUGCUCCAAAUAGUUAAUCUAUUCACUUUUGGGAGUUUCUGUCAUGGCUCAGCCGUAACAAACCUGACUUGUAUCGUUGAGGACUCAGCUUCAAUCCCUGGCCUCGCUCAGUGGGUUAAAUGAUCCUCAGGCGUUGCCGUGAGCUGUGGCAUAGGCCGGUGGCCACAGCUCUGAUUAGACCCCUAGCCUGGGAACCUCCAUAUGCCUCAGGUGCGGCCCUAAAAAGACCCCCCAAAAAAAAAAAUCCAUUCACUUUUCAUACAUACCAUGUAAACUAAAACGACAGAUAAAACAAGUUUUUAAUUCUGUGGCAGAAACGAAAAUAAAAUUUAACAAAUAAAUACAAACCAUGCGCUUCUCUACCCCUUUUCGUGUUGCCUUAAAGUGACUGUGUUUCCAAGAUCUUAGCCACAAGCCCACUGUUACCUCUGAUAUUAACUGGUGUCCCAAGAGCAGCUAUAUUCCACUUGUUUACAUGUAACAGAAUAACAUUACUUGCAAAAUUCUAAAAAAAUACUGUAAAAUAUAUGAAUAACCAUUUUUCCAAUCUGUUUUAUACUUCUAUGGUACCCACACUGCAUAAUUAACAAACUGGUCUGGAGUUCCCAUCGUGGUGCAGUGAAAGCAAAUCUGACUGGUAUCCAUGAGGUUGCAGAUUCAUUUCUGCUGAGCCACGAUGGGAACUCCAAAAAUCUGCAUUUUUGAACAAGCACCCCAGGUGACUGUUAAUUCUAAGGCCCAAUAAAUAUCUAUCUUAUUAGUCAUUCUAAUUUUAAAUAAUUAUAUAAGAUCCUCAAAGUCAUCUAAACAGACCCAUUUCAUAGGUCCCUU